RNAcentral lists this ribosomal RNA (653 nucleotides) under uncultured bacterium. RNAcentral's name for it is "bacterial SSU rRNA". It matches the Rfam family "Bacterial small subunit ribosomal RNA", at positions 152 to 823 of the family's 1533-position model. The record is from RNAcentral.
AGAAAUGACUGCUAAUACCGCAUAAGCGCACAGUCUCGCAUGGGACAGUGUGAAAAACUGAGGUGGUGUGAGAUGGAUCCGCGUCUGAUUAGGCAGUUGGCGGGGUAACGGCCCACCAAACCAACGAUCAGUAGCCGGCCUGAGAGGGUGAACGGCCACAUUGGGACUGAGACACGGCCCAAACUCCUACGGGAGGCAGCAGUGGGGAAUAUUGCACAAUGGGGGAAACCCUGAUGCAGCGACGCCGCGUGAAGGAAGAAGUAUUUCGGUAUGUAAACUUCUAUCAGCAGGGAAGAAAGUGACGGUACCUGACUAAGAAGCCCCGGCUAACUACGUGCCAGCAGCCGCGGUAAUACGUAGGGGGCAAGCGUUAUCCGGAUUUACUGGGUGUAAAGGGAGCGUAGGCGGCGAUGCAAGUCAGAAGUGAAAGCCCGGGGCUCAACUCCGGGACUGCUUUUGAAACUGUAUGGCUAGAUUGCAGGAGAGGCAAGUGGAAUUCCUAGUGUAGCGGUGAAAUGCGUAGAUAUUAGGAGGAACACCAGUGGCGAAGGCGGCUUGCUGGACUGUAAAUGACGCUGAGGCUCGAAAGCGUAGGGAGCAAACAGGAUUAGAUACCCUGGUAGUCCACGCCGUAAACGAUGAUCACCAGGUGU